Oryza sativa Japonica Group (Japanese rice) is the source of this 1455-nucleotide non-coding RNA. Lineage: Eukaryota; Viridiplantae; Streptophyta; Magnoliopsida; Poales; Poaceae. The record is from RefSeq and is a predicted model, not a curated record.
CUCAAAAAGGCAAUAUAGAUAGCCAAGCUUACAAAAGCUCCAGAACAACAAAUUCGAUCACUUGAAGCUUUCUCAACGAGAUCCUUGCCAAGAAUGUCCAGUUCUAAGGGACUUAGUAGCUCUGUGCCUCCCCAAGGUGGCUCUGGAGCAUCCAAAAGGCACGCGGACACUCGUCAUGAAGUGACAAACCUUACAGGUAAAUGUUUUUUUUCUUCCAAAUUUUGUUCAAUCCAACCAUCCACAAUGCAGAACUUAUGUAUAAUAUGUUCCAAAAGGAUGUAUAAUAUCAACUGUAUCCAUCUAUCCCAAUUGUCUCUUGUAAAAAUACUGUAAAAUGAAACAUAAUUAAUUUACUACAUGAUUCAUUUUGAUUUCUACCUUUUGUUGGAGGUCGUCAGUGUCGUAGGCGGCAGCUUUGCAGGUUCUGAAGAUGCCGCUCGUUGCCGAAUGAUGAACAGCAGCUUCAGCUUGAUCAAGGCACGCCGGCGGCGCUGUCUUCAAGGAGAUUCACGCCCUCGCCGAGGUGCACGAGACGGACGGCGGCUCUCCUCCAAGAUACAAUGAUCUCGUAUCCUCAGCCGUGCACUCGGCCAAGAACGAACCAGCGGACUUUCGUGGGAUGUAACUCUCUCUAUGCAAAACAAGCAGAUGGAUGUGGGCAAAAACUUCGUGCAACAAAUACAGCAGCAGUGCCUUCCAGACUUGAACCUUAUGUCUAGCUAGUACAUGACUUAAUUUACACAGGAGCGCAGUGGAGGUAACCUUGAACUUUACUCCUUGGUGUGUAAACAUCAUCAAGUAGGUGCACAAUACACGGCUACAGCCACAAGAGCCCUUUCAGUUUUGUGCUUUUCGGUCAUACACAAGUAUCUUGGAUCUCAUGAGUGCUUUAGGAAGCGGCCAGCUAAACUUCCAUGGAUUGCGACCAAACAAUCACGCUCAAGUAGGUGGAUUCUCUAAGGAUAUCCUGCAAGGCACAUAUCCCAUCACUUAGAUUUGAAUCCAUUAAGAGACACAGCUCAACCUCUUCCUUGCAAAUUAGAAGUACUGAAUCAAUAGCAAGGGGUAUAAUGUAAUUUAAUCAGUACUCACCAUUACAGAUCAGCUUGUUUUCCCAUUGAACCUGUGUCAUGGGAUUUCCAAUCAAACAGGUUGGGUUGCCACUGUCAAUAAUUCAUUAGCAGGCCUCAGCCCCAUCCCUUUCGACAACUCUAAUAUUGGCUUUCGUGCUAAUCCUUUUGUGAAUGGAUCAGCCAAAUUCUUUUCUGUCUUGAUAUAGUCAAAUGUAACUACACCAGUAUUCCUCAAGUCUCUAACAGACUUUAGUCUCCUCUUCAUAUGUCUAGAAGAUUUCAUGUUUUCUUUCUUGCUUGUAACUUUAGCUAUCACAGCUUGAUUGUCACAAUACAAGAGCACUACAGGAAUUGGUUUUUCUACUAUUGGAAUAUCCAUCAA